This is a non-coding RNA of Rana temporaria (common frog), 1180 nucleotides long. The record is from the annotation of a RefSeq genome assembly. Lineage: Eukaryota; Metazoa; Chordata; Amphibia; Anura; Ranidae.
GCACAAUUUCAAGCUAGACAGUUAAAAAAUAAAAAAAAUAACCUCUGUAAAUUACUCAAGUAAAAAAAAAUGCUUUAGUUGCAUAUUUUGUAAAGACACCUCUGAUAAGUGUGAUCUUUAAGUGUAUCUGAGUUUCUCAACUAUGGAACAUACUGUAUAUCACAAUGUACAGAUAGCAAGCUCCCUUACCCAAAUAGGAUACAGACAACUAACUAUUUCCUACUCUGUCAAAAGCUAAAAAAUAAUAAUGUUAUAACAGGCAGAGACUAAUUGGUAUACUGGAGAACACUCCCCCAUGUUAUGCCACCUCAGCCCUGUAAUGUAAAAUAAAGGGAAACAUCUAAAAAAGGGCACUUCAUUGGUCAUGGUAUAUGGAAGGACCUAGUUAGUCAGGUGCAGCCAAGGGUGCUUAUCUGGGACACAAGUCGGGUGCCCUUCUACCAAUCAGAAUCACAGUAGGUGUGUCAUUAUCAUCAUUAACUCUCAGCAGCCAAACACGUGAGACACAAUCCCACUUUCUUCCCUCAUAGACUUGCAAAUGACAAAGCUUUGGCAAUUUCUGAUGCUAGUUCUUGGCUAUUUUUUGUGUCGGGGCAGGGCAGAGGUGGUCAAUCAAGCGAAGAAGCUGGUAAUUAUAAAUCUUGGAGAUCCAGCAGAAAUGCCAUGUUAUCAGAGCAGGUCUGACUUCUACAACAUGUACUGGUACCAGCAGAAGCCUGGAGAAGGCCUGAAGCUGAUUGUCUGGUCAACCGAAGUUGAUGAUUAUAACAUGGAAGAUGCAUACAAGGAAACGUGCAACCUGACUCGGAAAAACAUUCACAAUUCUACACUAAGGCUAAAAUCUGCAACUAAGGAAGAUCAGGCUGUGUAUUUCUGUGCAGCUAGUUUACACAGAAGCUUAAACCAACACUGUACCUGUCACUAAAUAUCAGGCAUGGACAGUUUGUGUUCACAUUGCAAUCCUGCCGCUAGGGUGCCUACAUUACUAAUAUAUUUUUCAUUUUUUUUUUGUCGUUGUUUUCCCUAUCUGUAACCCUUGCAACAGUUCUGUUUUUUUACUGGUCCCACUGGUAAAUAUCAGCCAAGUGUCAACACUACAGCAUUGACAUUCUAUGUUAAAAAGCAACAGUACUAAUAUAUAUUAUAUGCAUAAUAUUUAAUAUUAAAAUAUUAUUUAGCA